RNAcentral lists this ribosomal RNA (332 nucleotides) under uncultured eukaryote. RNAcentral describes it as "partial 18S ribosomal RNA". It matches the Rfam family "Eukaryotic small subunit ribosomal RNA", at positions 1470 to 1796 of the family's 1831-position model. The record is from RNAcentral.
CCCUUAGAUGUUCUGGGCUGCACACGUGCUACACUGGCAGGUUCAGCGAGCUUCAUGCCCUGAUCUGAAAGGAAUGGGAAAUCUUUUCAAAACCUGCCGUGCUUGGGAUAGAUGUUUGCAAUUAUUCAUCUUCAACGAGGAUUGCCUUGUAAGCGCACGUCACCAGCGUGCAUUGAAUACGACCCUGUAUUCUGUACACACCGCCCGUCGCUCCUACCGAUUGAAGUUUUCGGUGAGUUGACAGGAGGAUUUUUUUGAAACUGGUUCGCCAGUGGAUUUUAGAUCCAAAUGCCAACGAAUCGAUGGCUUUAGAGGAAGGUGAAGUCGUAACA